UCCCAUCGCUUGAAUACAGUACUCCUAGGG
This 30-nucleotide non-coding RNA is filed under the name Homo sapiens (human). The record is from RNAcentral. Lineage: Eukaryota; Metazoa; Chordata; Mammalia; Primates; Hominidae.